UACGGAGGAUGCAAGCGUUAUCCGGAAUGAUUGGGCGUAAAGCGUCCGCAGGUGGCUGUGUAAGUCUGCUGUCAAAGAGCAAAGCUCAACUUUGUAAAGGCAGUGGAAACUACACGGUUAGAGUGCGUUCGGGGCAGAGGGAAUUCCUGGUGUAGCGGUGAAAUGCGUAGAUAUCUGGAGGAACACCGGUGGCGAAGGCGGCCCUCUGGACCGGUACUGACGCUGAUGCGCGAAAGCGUGGGUAGCAAACGGG
RNAcentral lists this ribosomal RNA (253 nucleotides) under uncultured bacterium. RNAcentral's name for it is "partial 16S ribosomal RNA". It matches the Rfam family "Bacterial small subunit ribosomal RNA", at positions 524 to 776 of the family's 1533-position model. The record is from RNAcentral.